Molecule: ribosomal RNA, 497 nt
Filed under: uncultured bacterium
Lineage: Bacteria
Description: partial 16S ribosomal RNA
Rfam family: Bacterial small subunit ribosomal RNA
Source: RNAcentral
GACGAACGCUGGCGGCGUGCCUAAUACAUGCAAGUUGAGCGAUGAAGUUUGGUGCUUGCACCAAUUUGAAGAGCAGCGAACGGGUGAGUAACGCGUGGGGAAUCUGCCUUUGAGCGGGGGACAACAUUUGGAAACGAAUGCUAAUACCGCAUAACAACUUUAAACAUAAGUUUUAAGUUUGAAAGAUGCAAUUGCAUCACUCAAAGAUGAUCCCGCGUUGUAUUAGCUAGUUGGUGAGGUAAAGGCUCACCAAGGCGAGGAUACAUAGCCGACCUGAGAGGGGGAUCGGCCACAUUGGGACUGAGACACGGCCCAAACUCCUACGGGAGGCAGCAGUAGGGAAUCUUCGGCAAUGGACGAAAGUCUGACCGAGCAACGCCGCGUGAGUGAAGAAGGUUUUCGGAUCGUAAAACUCUGUUGGUAGAGAAGAACGUUGGUGAGAGUGGAAAGCUCAUCAAGUGACGGUAACUACCCAGAAAGGGACGGCUAACUACGUG